RNAcentral lists this ribosomal RNA (472 nucleotides) under uncultured bacterium. RNAcentral's name for it is "partial 16S ribosomal RNA". It matches the Rfam family "Bacterial small subunit ribosomal RNA", at positions 28 to 507 of the family's 1533-position model. The record is from RNAcentral.
GACGAACGCUGGCGGCGUGCUUAACACAUGCAAGUCGAACGAUGAACCCGGAGCUUGCUCUGGGGGAUUAGUGGCGAACGGGUGAGUAACACGUGAGUAACCUGCCCUGGACUCUGGGAUAAGCGUUGGAAACGACGUCUAAUACCGGAUAGGACCUUGGAUCGCAUGAUCUGGGGUGGAAAGUUUUUUCGGUCUGGGAUGGACUCGCGGCCUAUCAGCUUGUUGGUGAGGUAAUGGCUCACCAAGGCGUCGACGGGUAGCCGGCCUGAGAGGGUGACCGGCCACACUGGGACGGAGACACGGCCCAGACUCCUACGGGAGGCAGCAGUGGGGAAUAUUGCACAAUGGGCGAAAGCCUGAUGCAGCAACGCCGCGUGCGGGAUGACGGCCUUCGGGUUGUAAACCGCUUUUAGUAGGGAAGAAGGGCUUCGGCUUGACGGUACCUGCAGAAAAAGGACCGGCUAACUACGUG